UGCCUACGGGUGGCUGCAGUGGGGAAUUUUGGACAAUGGGGGCAACCCUGAUCCAGCCAUGCCGCGUGCGGGAAGAAGGCCUUCGGAUUGUAAACCGCUUUUGUCAGGGAAGAAACGCGCUGGACUAAUACUCUGGCGUAAUGACGGUACCUGAAGAAUAAGCACCGGCUAACUACGUGCCAGCAGCCGCGGUAAUACGUAGGGUGCAAGCGUUAAUCGGAAUUACUGGGCGUAAAGCGUGCGCAGGCGGUUGUGCAAGACAGAUGUGAAAUCCCCGGGCUUAACCUGGGAACUGCAUUUGUGACUGCACGGCUAGAGUACGGCAGAGGGGGAUGGAAUUCCGCGUGUAGCAGUGAAAUGCGUAGAUAUGCGGAGGAACACCGAUGGCGAAGGCAGUCCCCUGGGCCUGUACUGACGCUCAUGCACGAAAGCGUGGGGAGCAAACAGGAUUAGAUACCCGUGUAGUC
This 467-nucleotide ribosomal RNA is filed under the name uncultured Comamonadaceae bacterium. RNAcentral describes it as "bacterial SSU rRNA". It matches the Rfam family "Bacterial small subunit ribosomal RNA", at positions 335 to 795 of the family's 1533-position model. Lineage: Bacteria; Pseudomonadati; Pseudomonadota; Betaproteobacteria; Burkholderiales; Comamonadaceae. The record is from RNAcentral.